RNAcentral lists this transfer RNA (68 nucleotides) under Creontiades dilutus (green mirid). Its description in RNAcentral is "tRNA-Met". The record is from RNAcentral. Lineage: Eukaryota; Metazoa; Arthropoda; Insecta; Hemiptera; Miridae.
AAAAAGAUAAGCUAAAUAAAGCUAUUAGGUUCAUACCCUAAUUAUAGAAAUUAACUUUCUUCUUUUUA